UACAGAGGUCCCAAGCGUUGUUCGGAUUUACUGGGCGUAAAGGGCGCGUAGGCGGCCUAGCAAGUCACUUGUGAAAUCUCCGGGCUUAACUCGGAACUGCCAAGUGAAACUGCUGGGCUAGAGUGCAGAAGGGGCAAUCGGAAUUCUUGGUGUAGCGGUGAAAUGCGUAGAUAUCAAGAGGAACACCUGAGGUGAAGACGGGUUGCUGGGCUGACACUGACGCUGAGGCGCGAAAGCCAGGGGAGCAAACGGG
Molecule: ribosomal RNA, 253 nt
Filed under: uncultured bacterium
Lineage: Bacteria
Description: partial 16S ribosomal RNA
Rfam family: Bacterial small subunit ribosomal RNA
Source: RNAcentral